Molecule: long non-coding RNA, 840 nt
Organism: Leucoraja erinaceus (little skate)
Lineage: Eukaryota; Metazoa; Chordata; Chondrichthyes; Rajiformes; Rajidae
Exons: 5
Source: RefSeq, a predicted model, not a curated record
UGUUUACUGCUGGGUCUAAAGAUCAAAUUUAUGAUUGGCCUGCAAUUACUAUUUUUACACAAAGUGUGUUUAUUAACCAAUGACUCUUGUAAAACUAUCAUCCAAAUUGGGCAGAGUUCCAUGUGGUGGAACUGGGAGAAUUCCAGUGGAUGGAAAGGGCGUAGGAAGCACCGAGCGAAGAUCUUUGGCAUUUACAAAAACAUUUCGACCCGCCCAAUGUGGAAGGAAACCGGAGCACCCGGAUAAAACCCACGCUGUCGCAGGGAGAACGUACGAAUUCUGUCUACAGACAACACCCUUAGUCAGAAUCGAACGGAGUAUCUGGCGCUCGAAGGCAGCAACACUAUUGAUGGUUUGAAACUUUAACAGAUAUCGGAAAAAUGAUCUGGUAUGGGAGACUGUUUGUGUUAAUGUUAAUACUCACUGUGAUGGUACUGGGCGCAAUACUUCUGGGCAACUCUGAGAAUAGCGAUGAAAGGGAGCCGAUAACAAUGAACAUUCCCAUUUUUGCAAUCGUCAUUUCCUGCUUGGGUGCAUUAAUACUGGGAGGAUUUAUAGUGUAUUGCAUAAGAAGAAGAUGCCAUCGUUGCCGUCAUCGAUCAGUUACAUCGAAAAUUAAGAGAUUUUUCCGCAAGCGCUGCCGUUGCAAGAGGUAUGCGUGCCGACGCGUCAAGUGAAUGAAGAACAACCUCUAACGCUACAAGCAAAGAGACAUAAAGAUGCAGUGAGCAGCAACAAGAGGCACAACAAGAAAUAACUUAAUAAUUUUCAUCUUUAACGUUUAAAUUGGUGUUAUAUUUUAAGAGUCAUUCACAUUUUAAACUUUAAUAAAUCCUUUUU